This 429-nucleotide ribosomal RNA is filed under the name Acidobacteriota bacterium. Its description in RNAcentral is "Acidobacteria bacterium partial 16S ribosomal RNA". It matches the Rfam family "Bacterial small subunit ribosomal RNA", at positions 355 to 776 of the family's 1533-position model. Lineage: Bacteria; Pseudomonadati; Acidobacteriota. The record is from RNAcentral.
UGGGGAAUUUUGGACAAUGGGGGAAACCCUGAUCCAGCCAUCCCGCGUGUGCGAUGAAGGCCUUCGGGUUGUAAAGCACUUUUGGCAGGAAAGAAACGUCAUGGGUUAAUACCCCGUGAACCUGACGGUACCUGCAGAAUAAGCACCGGCUAACUACGUGCCAGCAGCCGCGGUAAUACGUAGGGUGCAAGCGUUAAUCGGAAUUACUGGGCGUAAAGCGUGCGCAGGCGGUUCGGAAAGAAGGAUGUGAAAUCCCAGAGCUCAACUUUGGAACUGCAUUUUUAACUACCGGGCUAGAGUGUGUCAGAGGGAGGUGGAAUUCCGCGUGUAGCAGUGAAAUGCGUAGAUAUGCGGAGGAACACAGAUGGCGAAGGCAGCCUCCUGGGAUAACACUGACGAUCAUGCACGAAAGCGUGGGGAGCAAACAGG